Molecule: RNA transcript, 2254 nt
Organism: Ricinus communis (castor bean)
Lineage: Eukaryota; Viridiplantae; Streptophyta; Magnoliopsida; Malpighiales; Euphorbiaceae
Gene name: vacuolar cation/proton exchanger 3
Exons: 14
Source: RefSeq, a predicted model, not a curated record
AAAAUUGAACAAGAAAGAAAAAAAAUAAAAAUGAAAAAGGCGCUCUGUCUUGGAAGUUUCCUCAAUGCCGGCCACUCAUCUUCCACUCUUUCUUCAAAACUCAGAAUCCCAACUUCAUUCACUGCUUCCUUUUUAUUUAUUUAUUUAUUUUCCAUUUUCUUUUAUUUUUCCCAAAUAUUAUUAUUUUAUACUUCAAAUCUUCUGCUUCCUCUCUCUCUCAGUUUUGCUGGAUAAGUAUCUGUCUGUGGAUCAUAGACUUUGCAUCUCUGAUUGUAGCACAGUGUCAUCUGUUGAAAGAUAGAUCUUCUGCUAGAGUAUCCUUAAUAAUCUCUAAGGGCUGAGCCUUUUUCAUGAUAAAUAAACUCAAAUGGGGCCCAUAGAGGAGAAGGUAGACCUUGAAUCUGACGAAGAAAUUCCUUUUAGCUCAUCAUCAAUUCGGAGGAAAGUGCAUAUGUUUGGUUUUGAGACAGCCAGCAUGAGUGCUCAUGCAGAUGUGGUUAAUACAUGGGUUUUUAAGCGAAUACGAAUGAGCCCUCUCAGGAGUAUUUACAUUGUUUUAAUUAAAGCAAAGAUAAACGUUUUGUUACCUUUUGGUCCCUUGGCAAUUUUGCUUCACUAUGUUACUCAAAAGCAUGGAUGGGUUUUCUUCCUCAGUUUAUUGGGCAUCACACCUCUAGCAGAGCGUCUAGGUUAUGCAACUGAGCAGCUCGCCUUCUACACUGGACCAAUAGUUGGUGGUCUUCUAAAUGCGACAUUUGGAAAUGCAACAGAAAUGAUCAUAUCAAUUUAUGCAUUGAAGAGUGGAAUGAUAAGGGUUGUCCAACAGUCUUUAUUAGGUUCUAUCUUGUCAAAUAUGCUUUUGGUGCUUGGAUGUGCCUUCUUCACUGGUGGUAUUGUUCAUCACAGGAAGGUUCAGGUUUUUAAUAAGGCAAUUGCUCUUGUGAAUUCUGGAUUGCUGUUAAUGGCAGUGAUGGGGAUAAUGUUUCCUGCUGUUCUUCACUUCACACGCUCAGAGAUUCAUUUUGGCAAGUCAGAGUUGUCACUUUCAAGAUUUAGCAGUUGUAUAAUGCUAGUGGCAUAUGGGAGCUACCUGUUCUUUCAACUCAAAAGUCAACAUGAUCUCUACAACCCUGUUGAUGAGGGAAGGGAGGACGAGCAGCAGGAUCCUGAUGAAGAAGAGGUGCCAGAAAUAACUCAAUGGGAAGCAAUUGGAUGGCUUGCAAUUUUGACUUUAUGGAUUUCCAUACUGUCUGGCUACCUUGUUGAUGCUAUCCAGGGAGCAUCUGACUCAUUGAACAUGCCAGUGGCUUUUAUUAGUGUCAUCCUACUUCCGAUUGUAGGAAAUGCUGCUGAGCAUGCAAGUGCAAUCAUGUUCGCGAUGAAGGAUAAGCUCGAUAUUACACUUGGAGUUGCAAUUGGAUCGUGCACCCAGAUAUCAAUGUUUGUGAUCCCUUUUUGUGUGGUUGUUGGGUGGAUCAUGGGACAACCGAUGGACUUGAAUUUUCAACUCUUUGAGACGGCAACCCUUUUUAUCACCGUAUUAGUUGUGGCAUUUAUGUUGCAGGAAGGAACGUCAAACUAUUUCAAAGGCUUAAUGCUCAUUCUUUGCUAUCUUAUAGUAGCGGCAAGUUUCUUUGUACAUAUUGAUCCUUCGAAUGAUGAGAUGCAAUGACACUGAUAACUUUGGCUGAGGGAAAGCAUCUUUCAGCGAACAUCAUGCCGGAGGCAUUAUUUUAUAGAUUCUCUUCGCGAUCAUGGAGCAAUUCUCAAAUCUCAUUUUCAGUUUAUUUUAGUUUGGACGUGGAGGAGGUUUCAGCUGAGGCCUCUCUGUAUUUGUUUGGCUCACAAUAAAUACACAAAAUUGGGUGCUCAAGUGUUAUAGCAAUUUGCUUGCAAACAAACAGGGUGUUAAUUCAUAUUCUUGAGAAUGUUAAUCUGAAAGGCAUUGACAGCCUAAGCUAGUUCUCCUAUGAGAUUAAAUUGCAGCUCAGAUCAGAGACUUAUGAUCUGAAGUCCGACUCCUGUCGUCAACCUGGUAAAGCUGGAAGUGAAGGUUACAUAAGGGUUAGAGGUCGAACCGGAGAUCCGACUCUAGUUCUCAACCUGCUAAAGCUGGAUGUGAAGGUUACUUAAGGGUUAGAGGUUGAACAGGGGUUGAAUGCAAGUAUGUUAAAAGUUUGUUAAAUUUAAUGGAACUUAGUAUGUUAAAAGUUUGUUAAAUUUAAUGGAACUUAGUAUGACAUAUUUAAUCCAA